UACGUAGGGUGCAAGCGUUAAUCGGAAUUAUUGGGCGUAAAGCGUGCGCAGGCGGUGAUGUAAGACAGAUGUGAAAUCCCCGGGCUCAACCUGGGAACUGCAUUGUGACUGCAUCGCUGGAGUGCGGCAGAGGGGGAUGGAAUUCCGCGUGUAGCAGUGAAAUGCGUAGAUAUGCGGAGGAACACCGAUGGCGAAGGCAAUCCCCUGGGCCUGCACUGACGCUCAUGCACGAAAGCGUGGGGAGCAAACAGG
This 252-nucleotide ribosomal RNA is filed under the name uncultured bacterium. RNAcentral describes it as "partial 16S ribosomal RNA". It matches the Rfam family "Bacterial small subunit ribosomal RNA", at positions 524 to 776 of the family's 1533-position model. The record is from RNAcentral.